GUCACCUAGAAUCUGGCUGUUAACUGUCACCAUUGCUGAGAGUCUCAACAUAGGGCAAAGUGCUCAGGGAAGCUGAAGGCUGAACUUUCAGCCUUUCCACUGACCCCGAAAGCACUUUGGGCUUCUCUGAGGACAAGCCUGCAUCUCAAGGAACUGCAUUAUAUUAUUCUGCGGAGGGAAGUUGGAGACAUCAGAGAUGGGUAGAUAUUCCCUUGCUUAUGCAGGAAGGUUUUUACUUCUAGAACUUUGUCUUUUGUAGAUUUGAUGAAACCCUAAAAAUGCUGCUUGUUAAGUAAGAAACUGCUGCUUUGACUCUUGUAGGGAAAGCACCAGGCAGGCAAAGCCCUCCAGGGAGUAAUGCCACCAAAGGAGAGGAAAAGCUACGUUUCCAAAGGCAAAAAGUAGGCCUGUGACUGGGACAACAGCCUGAAUGCUGGCAUCCAUGGAGCAUCAUCCUUUUCUGCAGUUUUGGACUGUUUUGCACAACUUGACCUCACCUUCCUCAUUCUCAUACUGUGUGCUCACCUUCCACCCAAGGGCUUCCCUGUUGAUACUGUCCAGAGGUCACAUAUGUAAAACCUAUAGAGUGAGAGAGUUAAUGUGCCCUGGGCCAAAACUUUAAUCAGUGGAAAAUGGAGAGGGUGGAUAAAUGUUCUCCCUUUCUCCCCCAGAUGAACUGUCCUGAACUGUCCAUGCGGCUUCUCGAAGGAUGGAACCAAGGAUGGAUCAGUCAUCCUUAGUAAAGAUCAGCUUUAUGAUGUAUCAUAUACUCACCCCCUUUCUCUGCUUCUGUGCCUUUUUCCCACUUUUCUACAACAUGGUAUUGCAUCUCCCAAUGAAGAAAUCAGGCUCUGAUUACUGACACACUCAGGGUAAACAGUUAACCUCUGGACAAAACCGACACCUCAGCUGCAUAUGUCUGAAUACCGUAGUAUGUUUAUUGUCUUGCUUCCUCAAUAUCCAUUUCUUGACCUGCUCUAAGUUAGAGUUAAUUAUAGAAUAUUAGAGCUGAUAGUUACUAUUGGGAAGAAUGUGUCCCCCAAAAAAUCAUAUGUUGAAACUCUACCUAUGUGAUGGUUUCAGGACAUGGGUCCUUUGGGAGGUAAGUAGAAUUUGAUGAGAUCAUGAAGGUAGAGCCCUCAUGAAUGGGAUUAAUGCCCUGAUAGGGGUUAUGAGAGAACUGGCCUCCUCUCUCUGCUCUCUGUCAUGUGAGAGUACAACAAGAAGUUGGCAGUCUGCCACCCAGAAGAGUUUUCAUCAGAACUCAACUGUGCUAGCACCCUGAUCUCACUUCCAGCCUCUAGAACUGUGAAAAAUAAAUUAUUGUUGUUU
RNAcentral lists this long non-coding RNA (1332 nucleotides) under Vulpes vulpes (red fox). RNAcentral's name for it is "lncRNA (ENSVVUG00000001260.1)". The record is from RNAcentral. Lineage: Eukaryota; Metazoa; Chordata; Mammalia; Carnivora; Canidae.